RNAcentral lists this transfer RNA (65 nucleotides) under Dipodomys ordii (Ord's kangaroo rat). It matches the Rfam family "tRNA". From Rfam's summary of the family: Transfer RNA (tRNA) molecules are approximately 80 nucleotides in length. Their secondary structure includes four short double-helical elements and three loops (D, anti-codon, and T loops). Lineage: Eukaryota; Metazoa; Chordata; Mammalia; Rodentia; Heteromyidae. The record is from Rfam by way of RNAcentral.
GGUGGCUCAGUGGCAGAGUGCUUGCCUUGAAUGCAUGAGGCCUUGGGUUCGAUUCCUGAGCACCA